RNAcentral lists this ribosomal RNA (492 nucleotides) under uncultured bacterium. Its description in RNAcentral is "partial 16S ribosomal RNA". It matches the Rfam family "Bacterial small subunit ribosomal RNA", at positions 29 to 507 of the family's 1533-position model. The record is from RNAcentral.
AGUGAACGCUGGCGGCAUGCCUAACACAUGCAAGUCGAACGGCCGCACAGUAAGCGUUUGCUCUUACGGGUGGCGAGUGACGGAUGGGUGAGGCAUACAUCGGCAUCUACUUUUUCGUGGGGGAUUACGUAGGGACACUUACGCUAAUACCGCAUACGACCUACGGGUUAAAUCAGGGGUUCUUCGGACCUUUCGUGUUUGUAUUAGCCGGAGUCGCAUUAGCUAGUUGGCGGGGUAAAGGCCCACCAAGGCGACGAUCCGUAGCUGAUCUGAGAGGAUGAUCGGCCACACUGGAACUGAGACACGGUCCAGACUCCUACGGGAGGCAGCAGUGGGGAAUCUUGGACAAUGGGCGAAAGCCUGAUCCAGCCAUACCGCGUGAGUGAUGAAGGUCUUCGGGUCGUAAAACCCUGUUAUUAGGGAAGAAAAGCAGCGUAAGAAAAUGCCGCUGUUCUGACGGUACCCAAAGAGAAAGCACCGGCUAACUACGUG